GACGAACGCUGGCGGCGCGCCUAACACAUGCAAGUCGAGCGAGAACCAGCCCUUCGGGGCUGGGGACAGCGGCGAACGGGUGAGUAACACGUGGGUGAUCUACCCUCGGUUCUGGGAUAGCCCGGGGAAACCCGGAUUAAUACCGGAUGGCCUUUCGUAGUCUUCGGACCUGAAAGAAAAGGUAAGCUUCGGCCUCCGACCGAGGAUGAGCCCGCGGCCGAUUAG
Molecule: ribosomal RNA, 225 nt
Filed under: uncultured bacterium
Lineage: Bacteria
Description: partial 16S ribosomal RNA
Rfam family: Bacterial small subunit ribosomal RNA
Source: RNAcentral